This 301-nucleotide ribosomal RNA is filed under the name uncultured bacterium. RNAcentral describes it as "partial 16S ribosomal RNA". It matches the Rfam family "Bacterial small subunit ribosomal RNA", at positions 509 to 807 of the family's 1533-position model. The record is from RNAcentral.
CAGCCGCCGCGGUAAUACGUAGGUGGCAAGCGUUGUCCGGAAUUAUUGGGCGUAAAGGGCUCGCAGGCGGUUUCUUAAGUCUGAUGUGAAAGCCCCCGGCUCAACCGGGGAGGGUCAUUGGAAACUGGGAAACUUGAGUGCAGAAGAGGAGAGUGGAAUUCCACGUGUAGCGGUGAAAUGCGUAGAGAUGUGGAGGAACACCAGUGGCGAAGGCGACUCCCUGGUCUGUAACUGACGCUGAGGAGCGAAAGCGUGGGGAGCGAACAGGAUUAGAUACCCCGGUAGUCCCUGUCUCUUAUAC